This 87-nucleotide transfer RNA is filed under the name Flavobacteriia bacterium. RNAcentral's name for it is "tRNA-Leu(gag)". It matches the Rfam family "tRNA". Rfam says of the family: Transfer RNA (tRNA) molecules are approximately 80 nucleotides in length. Their secondary structure includes four short double-helical elements and three loops (D, anti-codon, and T loops). Further hydrogen bonds mediate the characteristic L-shaped molecular structure. tRNAs have two regions of fundamental functional importance: the anti-codon, which is responsible for specific mRNA codon recognition, and the 3' end, to which the tRNAs corresponding amino acid is attached (by aminoacyl-tRNA synthetases). tRNAs cope with the degeneracy of the genetic code in two manners: having more than one tRNA (with a specific anti-codon) for a particular amino acid; and 'wobble' base-pairing, i.e. permitting non-standard base-pairing at the 3rd anti-codon position. The record is from RNAcentral. Lineage: Bacteria; Pseudomonadati; Bacteroidota; Flavobacteriia.
GCCCAGGUGGUGAAAUUGGUAGACACGCCAUCUUGAGGGGGUGGUGACUUUAUAGUCGUGCAGGUUCAAGUCCUGUCCUGGGCACCA